RNAcentral lists this ribosomal RNA (584 nucleotides) under uncultured bacterium. RNAcentral's name for it is "bacterial SSU rRNA". It matches the Rfam family "Bacterial small subunit ribosomal RNA", at positions 202 to 806 of the family's 1533-position model. The record is from RNAcentral.
GAAAGCUCCGGCAGUACGGGAUGGGCCCGCGUCUGAUUAGCUUGUUGGCGGGGUAACGGCCCACCAAGGCUGCGAUCAGUAGCCGGCCUGAGAGGGCGGCCGGCCACAUUGGGACUGAGACACGGCCCAGACUCCUGCGGGAGGCAGCAGUGGGGGAUAUUGCACAAUGGGGGGAACCCUGAUGCAGCGACGCCGCGUGAACGAAGAAAUAUUUCGGUAUGUAAAGUUCUAUCAGCAGGGAAGAAAAUGACAGUACCUGACCAAGAAGCCCCGGCUAACUACGUGCCAGCAGCCGCGGUAAUACGUAGGGGGCGAGCGUUAUCCGGAUUCACUGGGCGUAAAGGGAGCGCAGGCGGCACGGCAAGUCCGGUGUGAAAGCCCGGGGCCCAACCCCGGGACUGCACUGGAAACUGCCGGGCUGGAGUGUCGGAGGGGCAGGCGGAAUUCCUAGUGUAGCGGUGAAAUGCGUAGAUAUUAGGAGGAACACCGGUGGCGAAGGCGGCCUGCUGGACGACGACUGACGCUGAGGCUCGAAAGCGUGGGGAGCAAACAGGAUUAGAUACCCUGGUAGUCCACGCCGUAAA